GCUAUCCUGGUAAAAGAUGUUUCAGGAAACUUCCAUUUAGGAUAUCUAUGUCUAGUGAAAUAGAGGUCACUCUCCAUGCCAAAAUUUGAUGCUCUAAUAACAACUAAAACUUGAACUGAUCAGAAAAGUGAUGGCCUUCUGCCAUGUCAUUAAGAGAGUAGGGAAAAACUUCAGGUGAAUUUUUUACUGAAUGGUGUGGAAGGUCCUUAGUUGCAAGCAUUUCACCCCAGACUGUGACAUGCUCUUGAACUUAUAUUGCAGAGUCCCUUGCUAUCACUGUAAGAGCACGUCUUCCAUCCAGGUCUACCAGAGUUUACCUUCAUGAGGCUACUGACUGUUUUGACCAACAGCUUAAACAAGGUGAGAAAUUGGAAAUUCUGGAACUUUCUUAAUCGUAUUUGAAGUCUGAACUGGAAACACGAGUCUCGUGUGCUUCCAUGGCAUCAAACCAUCUUCACCACUUCUGUCUGCCUUUGGAGGACAACUUAGGUGUGAAGCAAGAACAGUUCACUUCAGCUUCCCCCUCUAGCAAGGACAGGGGCUAUGGAAGACAACAGCUCUUAUAAGAACUGUAUCCUAUUUCUGCUACCAGUCUAUGUAAAAAUGUCACCACAGCCCUCUAGAAGCAAGUUGGGCACUACUUCCUUGCUUCUAGGAAGUUUGUCUGCCUUGAAAUAAAUCCUGUGAUUAAAGAAGGCUGCAGGUUUUUAAGGGAAGCAUCCUUAACUGAAUUGUUUUACGAUCUUCCCCACCACAGCUUUGGGAAGACUGUCCCAUUAUGGGCAUUCACAAUUGCCACCUCCUUCAUAGAUGAUGGAUAGAGGACCACAGGCCAGAGAAAGACUACUAUGAUCUGUAUGUGAUGUAUGACAGGAGUAGGGUACUUGGCAGAGGGAAAUGGUUUAUCACAUCUAAUAUAUGGGAAUAGUUCGAAGAACAUCAAAGCCAAGGUAAACUCCAGCCUCUCUCCUGUGCCAAGCACCUUCCCUUUGCAAUUAUAGAAUCAUCAAAUCAUUAUGAUUGGAAAAGACCACAAAGAUCUAGUCCAAUCAGUGUUGCUGCGCCCACUAAUUCUUUUUUUUUUUUUCUUUUUCCCCAUCAUGCCUUCUUUUCCUCUUAUCAUCUGCUUUUCCAUGAUCAGGACAGAAAUCCUCCCAUGAUACUAGAUCCCUUUCCCAACAUUUUGCAAGUGUUUUCCCCAAACCCCUCUAUUUGUGGAGUACAUCUGAAUGACCCAGAGCAGCUAAUGCAUCAAAAUGCAUCACUUGGUGGGGAAAUUAAACUGUAACCUGAAAAUGUAGUAGGGAGGAGUCUCGGUUUAGCAAUUUUGCAGCUUCUUGAGUCACCCAUGUGGAGGCAAGCAGCUGCUGGGCAACGGAGUGAUGCAUAUGCUGCAGUGGAAAGGCACCUGUGCUAACAAUAGCUCAUAUGCAUGAAGCAUCUUCCAGGAUCCAGAGAGACUUCAGAAAGUCUCAAGAAGAUAUAAAGUACAUAUGUGGAGUUCUUCAUUGUCCCCUGCAGUGAUGUGGAAGUAAGGUCUUAUGAAGAGAGUUUGCACACAUCUGCAGGCUUUGGAGGAGUCCUUUCCUGCUCCAUAGUACCUAAAAAAAACAACAACUGUGCAGCAAGAUCAAAGCCUGCCUAAGCAAACUCAAGAACUUUUCUCACUUAAACAAGUCCAGAAAAAGUCACAGAGAUUUCCAGAUACUUUAAAUAAAUGUGCUUUUAACUUACUGGUUUCCAACACCUUCUUCAUUGGUGCCGUCUGGUGAUGUGACUGAACACAGCAAAGAGUAAAUCCCAAAUCUAGAUGUGAAGCGGGGCUUAGUCAAUGCUCCUGGAGUGGCAUUUCAUGUCUCACCUUUUUCUUCACCUUCUGUUAUUGAUGUUCAUAAACAGCACAGACUGAUUUCUGAUCUCAGUUUCACUCCAGCAAAGAAAUUAUGUCAAUUUUCAGUUGGUGAAACUUGAU
Long non-coding RNA from Phasianus colchicus (ring-necked pheasant), 1972 nucleotides. RefSeq lists it as uncharacterized. Lineage: Eukaryota; Metazoa; Chordata; Aves; Galliformes; Phasianidae. The record is from RefSeq and is a predicted model, not a curated record.